Molecule: ribosomal RNA, 377 nt
Filed under: uncultured bacterium
Lineage: Bacteria
Description: bacterial SSU rRNA
Rfam family: Bacterial small subunit ribosomal RNA
Source: RNAcentral
UAAUACAGAGGUCUCGAGCGUUAAUCGGAUUCAUUGGGCUUAAAGCGUACGUAGGCGGAUGUGCAGGCAUCGUGUGAAAUCCCCUGGCUCAACCAGGGAACUGCUCGGUGAACCGCACGUCUUGAGGCAAGUAGAGGCUGUCGGAACGAUAGGUGGAGCGGUGAAAUGCGUAGAUAUCUAUCGGAACGCCGAAGGUGAAAACAGGCAGCUGGGCUUGAUCUGACGCUGAGGUACGAAAGCGUGGGGAGCGAACGGGAUUAGAUACCCCGGUAGUCCACGCCGUAAACGAUGUGCACUUGAUCAGGGUGGUUCUGACAUCUCCCGGAUCGAAGCAAAAGUGUUUAGUGCACCGCCUGGGGAGUACGGUCGCAAGGCUA